Long non-coding RNA from Prunus dulcis (almond), 1058 nucleotides. RefSeq lists it as uncharacterized. The record is from RefSeq and is a predicted model, not a curated record. The transcript is spliced from 2 exons. Lineage: Eukaryota; Viridiplantae; Streptophyta; Magnoliopsida; Rosales; Rosaceae.
UUUGGGCGAGUGAACCAUGGCCGGUCCUCUCAGUCUUGUUUGCUUUAGCAACUUGUGGUUUGCUUGCUCGGUGAUUAAGCCGAACUAAGGCAAAGCGGCAGCAAGAGCGGCAGCAAGAGCAGCAUCAUUCAGAUUCAGAAGAAUUAGCAAGUAAUUAAGUAGGCCUCAGCCUCACAAACAAAAUAUCAAAGCGAAACAAUCGAAUUUGACAAAGGGAGAGAAACAGAGAGAUUGAGAUCGCGAAACGGCGUUGCAGUGGAUGAUACUGACGUACCUGGUGGCAGCUGAGGCAGCCUUGGCCUUCCUCUUAACCCUUCCUGCGCCCAAGCUCUUGAAGAAUCAAUUCGUGUCGUUGCUCUCUCUCAUCCUCCAACCUGCCCUCUUCAUCGUUCCAUUCGCCGGCUUUCAGCUCCUUGGUAAUGGAUUUCAAGUUCAUUGCCUUUGGAUUAUGUACAAUGUCAGAGUGAAGUUACAGUACAGUAAACAACCACUCAAAUGGGAGUUACUAGAAAGCCAUAGCAGUGAAAAAAAACAAAAACAAAAACAAAAAAAACAGACAAGAAAUUCAGCAAACGAAAAACAGAGACUAAAAAAUCGAAUAAGGAAACUAGUAUGAAGCCUUGGGUUGGACAGGCUCUGCUCCAACGUCCUUGAGAGUCACGACACGCUCUCGCGGGUUGGAGGCUUUGUAAGCAAAAGCAUCUCUACGGGUAGGAUCUUUAACGGCGUGAUUGUGGCCGUCAUACUCCUCAACAUGAGCCACCUUCCUGAAAAACGAGUUCGUCAUGAACUUCUCAGCCUCCUCCACCACAUGCUCCGGCUCCACCACCUCCGGCAGCGUCUCGCGUCGCCGCUUCUUCACGUAGACAUGGGGGUUGUGCUUCAGCUGAUGCAUGGCGGUGUGGAGCCCCAACCCCAGUGACACUGUUAUCAUCCCAAGAGCUACAUAGACAGGCACUAAGUCUCCCCUUAAGAACCUUUUGUAGCUCUGCUGGUUUUGUGCAGUGACACCAGCACUUGGGGUGUAGGCUUUCGUCUUGGGUGAGGUUGAGGUUGCA